This 506-nucleotide ribosomal RNA is filed under the name uncultured bacterium. RNAcentral's name for it is "partial 16S ribosomal RNA". It matches the Rfam family "Bacterial small subunit ribosomal RNA", at positions 28 to 523 of the family's 1533-position model. The record is from RNAcentral.
GAUGAACGCUAGCUACAGGCUUAACACAUGCAAGUCGAGGGGUAACGAGAGGAAAGCUUGCUUUCCUUGUCGACGACCGGCGCACGGGCGAGUAACGCGUACCCAACCUGCCCCCAACUAGGGAAUAACCUUGCGAAAGUAAGACUAAUACCCUAUAAUUUCCACAGAUGUCAUCUGACGAGGAAUAAAGAUUUAUCGGUUGUGGAUGGGGAUGCGUCUGAUUAGCUUGUUGGCGGGGGAACGGCCCACCAAGGCAACGAUCAGUAGGGGUUCUGAGAGGAAGGUCCCCCACAUUGGAACUGAGACACGGUCCAAACUCCUACGGGAGGCAGCAGUGAGGAAUAUUGGUCAAUGGGCGGAAGCCUGAACCAGCCAAGUAGCGUGCAGGAUGACGGCCCUAUGGGUUGUAAACUGCUUUUAUACAGGAAUAAAGUUAGCCACGUGUGGUUAUUUGUAGGUACUGUAUGAAUAAGGACCGGCUAAUUCCGUGCCAGCCGCCGCCGUAA